This is a non-coding RNA of Maylandia zebra (zebra mbuna), 518 nucleotides long. The record is from RefSeq and is a predicted model, not a curated record. NCBI's taxonomy places the organism in Eukaryota, Metazoa, Chordata, Actinopteri, Cichliformes, Cichlidae.
UGUAAAUACUCGAUGUUAUUUCUUUUCAGACUCUGAGAUAAACCUGCUCAACUCCUCUUUUUUUGAGUAUCUCGAUCGAAUUGAUAUCUCUGACUUGGACACCUUUAUUGGUACGAGUUCCCCGAAUUCUUCACCACCAGUGCUUGUGCGAUCCACAGGAAAGAAUAUUCGUCUCUCCACACGGGACAGAGAGUAUUUGCUCUCUACGCUAGGUCGCCCUGCUUCAUCUGGCCCCAGUUCCAUUCCCGUCGGAGCUUGUUCUCUCCCGCAACCCUCUGGGAAAAACCUGCGCCUGUCCGCGGGGGACAGCCAAGAUUUGCUCUCCGAGCUCACUCCCGAUGCUCCGGCCGAUCGGAGCCCCAGAAACGCUUCUUAUUCUCCGCCAUCAGACACACGAAAUGCACCGCGCCUGCCUUUGAGACCCAAUCACGGGCGUCUCAGAAGGAGGAGUAGCAGGACCCGCAGGAUCGCAAGGACAAGGAGGACAACGCGAACACGCACCCGAAGGCAGCUGGCGU